RNAcentral lists this ribosomal RNA (438 nucleotides) under uncultured bacterium. Its description in RNAcentral is "bacterial SSU rRNA". It matches the Rfam family "Bacterial small subunit ribosomal RNA", at positions 338 to 795 of the family's 1533-position model. The record is from RNAcentral.
CCUACGGGUUGCAGCAGUGGGGAAUAUUGGACAAUGGGCGAAAGCCUGAUCCAGCAAAGCCGCGUGUGUGAAGAAGGUCAUCGGAUUGUAAAGCACUUUCGACGGGGACGAUGAUGACGGUACCCGUAGAAGAAGCCCCGGCUGACUCCGUGCCAGCAGCCGCGGUAAGACGGGGGGGGCAAGUGUUCUUCGGAAUGACCGGGCGUAAAGGGCACGUAGGCGGUGAAUCGGGUUGAAAGUGAAAGUCGCCAAAAACUGGCGGAAGACUCUCGAAACCAAUUCACUUGAGUGUGACAGAGGAGAGUGGAAUUUCGUGUGUAGGGGUGAAAUCCGGAGAUCUACGAAGGAACGCCAAAAGCGAAGGCAGCUCUCUGGGUCCUUACCGACGCUGGAGUGCGAAAGCAUGGGGAGCGAACGGGAUUAGAUACCCCUGUAGUC